Molecule: long non-coding RNA, 1682 nt
Filed under: Sus scrofa (pig)
Lineage: Eukaryota; Metazoa; Chordata; Mammalia; Artiodactyla; Suidae
Description: lncRNA (ENSSSCG00065032663.1)
Source: RNAcentral
UGAUUGACUAAAUGAAGUUCCAGUUAACUAAAACUUGGAGUAGAUCACUUAAAUCGGCCUUCCCUGAAAGGGCAUACUCCCUGAUUAACACUCCUGGCCCCUGCACCAGCAUGUCUAGAUACAUGGAAAAGCUGAUUCAUUUUCUUUCUUUUUUUUUUUUUUAGAUUCAUUAUCUUGGUACAUGAGAUAUAUCCAGUGUCUAAAAUGAAACAAUUUUAGUAAAAAUACAAGAAAGUGUUUAGAACUUCAGAUUAUGGGAGUUCCUGUCAUGGCGCAGGGGAAAGGAAUCCAACUAGGAACCACGAGGUUGUGGGUUCAAUCCCGGGCCUCGCUCAGUCGUGGGUUAAGGAUCUGGCGUUGCCAUGAGCUGUGGUGUGGGUCACAGAUGAGGCUCAGAUCCCACGUUGCUGUGGCUGUGGUGUAGGCCAGUGGCUACAGCUCUGAAUCCACCCCUAGCCUGGCUGGGAACUUCCAUAUGCUAUGGGUGCAGCCCUGAACAACAACAACAAAAAAUUGAGAAAAUAGACUGAAAAAGGAUCCCAGACACUUAAACAGUGAUGUACAUAAGGUUUUAGUGAACUUUAUUUUUUAUUGUACUUUGACCACUCAAAAGACUGUUGAGCUUAUGGGUUUUUUAGAUAACUAAAUUCUUAAUAGAUGAAAUAUUGCAGCAUAAUAAUCAUUUAGUUAAUAGUUGGGUAUGCAGUUAAUAAAUAUAAACAGAGAUUUGAGAAACCCAAAUAGUGAGUUCUAGUUCUGCUCUCUUCUCUGAGUCAUCCUGAUUAUACUACUUAUUUAUCUAAUCUUUUAGGUUUUACAUGUACUUUUUAAAUGGGGUCUUUAAAAAGUUUUUUUCACUUUCUGUGUAAAUAUUUACAAAAAGAAUCUGUCUAUAGUUCAAAGCCUUUGUGUAAUCUUUCACAAUUUAAUCCAACAAAAGAGCAGACAGGGACAUGCCUACAUGGGCUCUGGUCCAUCAGUGUUUUUCUGAAAGAGCUGGGAUGUUUACAUUCUUAGGAAGGAAAGAAGAACAGAGAAUACCAUUCCAUAUUUGUACUUGUUCGUUUUCCUGCAUCAUGGUGGCUGCUUUAUAACAGCUCAUAACGGUUAUACUGCAGCAUUAUUUCUGCUUGUUGAAUCACAUUGGUAUGCAGAUUCCUAAGUAUGUAGCCCCAUGGAUUAGGCCCCUCAUUCCUGUCAAAGAGAGUUAUUUACUCUGGGAAUCUUUCCAAAGUUGCUACCAGGAAUGCUUUUUACUUUUAUGGUGACUUGGUCCCUAAGGAUAAAGACAAUCAUCCAAAGGGAAAACUUUUUGCCCAGUAUCUAGACAUUUAUUGGUGACCAGGGCAGAAAAGUUCCUAGUCUUCAAAACUCAACAUGAGAACAGAUUAUUGAGCUUGAAUUGAGGAACGGAAUAUAGAAUAAUCAAAAGAUCCUAGUGUCUCCUUGUCCUUGCACCCAUGACCUGACUUGAAUAUACAAUUUAAGAAUCAUUUCAGGAGCUUCCGUUGUGGCUCAGCAGAAACGAAUCUGACUAGCAUCCAUGAGGAUGCAGGUUCAAGUCCUGUCCUCGCUUAGUGGGUUAAGGAUCCAGUGUUGCCAUGGGCUUCAUUGUAGGUUGCAGAUCUGGCAUUGCUGUGGCUGUGGUGUAGGCUGGCCGCCACAGCUCUGAUUCAAUCCCU